AUUCCCCUAGUAACUGCGAGUGAAGCGGGAAAAGCUCAAAUUUAAAAUCUGGUGGUCUUUGGCCAUCCGAGUUGUAAUUUAGAGAAGCGUCUUCCGCGCUGGACCGUGCACAAGUCUCCUGGAAUGGAGCGUCACAGAGGGUGAGAAUCCCGUCUUUGGCACGGACACACCAGGGCUUUUGUGAUGCGCUCUCGAAGAGUCGAGUUGUUUGGGAAUGCAGCUCAAAAUGGGUGGUGAACUCCAUCUAAAGCUAAAUAUUGGCGAGAGACCGAUAGCGAACAAGUACCGUGAGGGAAAGAUGAAAAGCACUUUGGAAAGAGAGUGAAACAGUACGUGAAAUUGUUGAAAGGGAAACGCUUGAAGUCAGUCGCGUCGACCGAGACUCAGCCUUGCCUCGGCUCGGUGUACUUCUCGGCCGACGGGUCAGCAUCAAUUUUGCCCCUUGGAUAAUGGCGAGGGAAAUGUGACACCUUUACGGUGUGUUAUAGUCUCUUGUCGCAUGCAAGGGUUGGGAUUGAGGAACUCAGCACGCGCCUUUGGGUGUCGGGGUUUUGCCCACGAUACGUGCUUAGGAUGUUGGCGUAAUGGCUUUAAACGACCCGUCUUGAAACACGGACCAAGGAGUCUAACAUGCCUGCGAGUGUUCGGGUGGAAAACCCGUGCGCGCAAUGAAAGUGAAAGUUGGGACCUCUGUCGUGGAGGGCACCGACGCCCGGACCAGACCUUCUGUGACGGCUCUGCGGUAGAGCAUGUAUGUUAGGACCCGAAAGAUGGUGAACUAUGCCUGAAUAGGGUGAAGCCAGAGGAAACUCUGGUGGAGGCUCGUAGCGAUUCUGACGUGCAAAUCGAUCGUCAAAUUUGGGUAUAGGGGCGAAAGAC
This 879-nucleotide ribosomal RNA is filed under the name Russula cuprea. RNAcentral's name for it is "eukaryotic LSU rRNA". It matches the Rfam family "Eukaryotic large subunit ribosomal RNA", at positions 74 to 931 of the family's 3401-position model. Lineage: Eukaryota; Fungi; Basidiomycota; Agaricomycetes; Russulales; Russulaceae. The record is from RNAcentral.